Molecule: ribosomal RNA, 467 nt
Filed under: uncultured bacterium
Lineage: Bacteria
Description: partial 16S ribosomal RNA
Rfam family: Bacterial small subunit ribosomal RNA
Source: RNAcentral
GACGAACGCUGGCGGCGUGCUUAAUACAUGCAAGUCGAACGAUGAAGCCCAGCUUGCUGGGUGGAAGAGUGGCUAACGGGUGAGUAACUCAUGAGUAACCUUCCCUGAACUCUGGGAUAAGCACUGGCAACGGUCUCUAAUACUUGAUACGACCUAUCACCGCCUGGUGUGUGCGUGGAAAUAUUUAUCUGUUCUGGAUGGUCUCGCGGCCUAUCAGCUUGAUGGUGAUGUAAUGUCUCACCAUGGCGACGCCGGGUAGCCCGCCUGAGAGGGUGACCGGCCACACUGGGACUGAGAGACGGCCCAGAAUCCAACGGGAGGCAGUAGUGGGGAGUAUUGCAGAAAGGGCGCAAGCCUGAGGCAGCAACGGCGCGUGAGGGAUGACGGCCUUCGGGUUGUAAACCUCUUUUAGUAGGGAAGAAGAGAAAGUGACGGUACCUGAAGAAAAAGCAACGGCUAACUACGUG